ACGAACGCUGGCGGCGUGCUUAACACCUGCAAGUCGAACGGAAAGGCCCUGCUUUUGUGGGGUGCUCGAGUGGCGAACGGGUGAGUAACACGUGAGUAACCUGCCCUUGACUUUGGGAUAACUUCAGGAAACUGGGGCUAAUACCGGAUAGGAGCUCCUGCUGCAUGGUGGGGGUUGGAAAGUUUCGGCGGUUGGGGAUGGACUCGCGGCUUAUCAGCUUGUUGGUGGGGUAGUGGCUUACCAAGGCUUUGACGGGUAGCUGGCCUGAGAGGGUGACCGGCCACAUUGGGACUGAGAUACGGCCCAGACUCCUACGGGAGGCAGCAGUGGGGAAUAUUGCACAAUGGGCGGAAGCCUGAUGCAGCAACGCCGCGUGCGGGAUGACGGCCUUCGGGUUGUAAACCGCUUUCGCCUGUGACGAAGCGUGAGUGACGGUAAUGGGUAAAGAAGCACCGGCUAACUACGUG
RNAcentral lists this ribosomal RNA (467 nucleotides) under uncultured bacterium. RNAcentral describes it as "partial 16S ribosomal RNA". It matches the Rfam family "Bacterial small subunit ribosomal RNA", at positions 29 to 507 of the family's 1533-position model. The record is from RNAcentral.